AACGAACGCUGGCGGCAUGCCUAACACAUGCAAGUCGAACGAGACCUUCGGGUCUAGUGGCGCACGGGUGCGUAACGCGUGGGAACCUGCCCUUAGGUUCGGAAUAACUCCCCGAAAGGGGUGCUAAUACCGGAUAAUGUCUUCGGACCAAAGAUUUAUCGCCUUUGGAUGGGCCCGCGUUGGAUUAGCUAGUUGGUAGGGUAAAAGCCUACCAAGGCGACGAUCCAUAGCUGGUCUGAGAGGAUGAUCAGCCACACUGGGACUGAGACACGGCCCAGACUCCUACGGGAGGCAGCAGUGGGGAAUAUUGGACAAUGGGCGAAAGCCUGAUCCAGCCACGCCGCGUGAGUGAUGAAGGCCUUAGGGUUGUAAAGCUCUUUUACCCGGGAUGAUAAUGACAGUACCGGGAGAAUAAGCUCCGGCUAACUCCGUG
Molecule: ribosomal RNA, 433 nt
Filed under: uncultured bacterium
Lineage: Bacteria
Description: partial 16S ribosomal RNA
Rfam family: Bacterial small subunit ribosomal RNA
Source: RNAcentral